RNAcentral lists this transfer RNA (78 nucleotides) under Staphylococcus chromogenes. Its description in RNAcentral is "tRNA-Pro". It matches the Rfam family "tRNA". From Rfam's summary of the family: Transfer RNA (tRNA) molecules are approximately 80 nucleotides in length. Their secondary structure includes four short double-helical elements and three loops (D, anti-codon, and T loops). Lineage: Bacteria; Bacillati; Bacillota; Bacilli; Caryophanales; Staphylococcaceae. The record is from RNAcentral.
UCCGCAUUAGCUCAAGUGGUAUAGAGCACCCAGCGCGGGGCUGGGAUUACCUGGGUUCAACUCCCAGAUGCGGAACCA